Lycium ferocissimum is the source of this 502-nucleotide long non-coding RNA. RefSeq lists it as uncharacterized. The record is from RefSeq and is a predicted model, not a curated record. The transcript is spliced from 2 exons. Lineage: Eukaryota; Viridiplantae; Streptophyta; Magnoliopsida; Solanales; Solanaceae.
GCUGUUGUUGUGAUUUUGAGCCAAGUUUUGGGCAGCUUUGAGGUCUAGUGCUGCUGUUAUUUAUAAUGCAAAUAGUUGCUAUGUUUUUCCAAAGUCGGAGUGCUGUACUUUGAUGCAAUGAGCUGCUAUAAUUGGGGACAAUCAUCUACUGUUGUCGUUGCAAGUAUUGAGGCAGAUUGUCGUCAUUUUCUUGAGCUAAAAGUGUCAUAUUCCAUCGCGAACAGUUGUUUCAUUUCGUGAAAAUGGCUGUUGUGUGUUUUGCUGCAUUUUAUGAGGCAAAACAGAUGCUAUAAUUGAUGUCCCAAUGCUACAGUUAUGAUGCAACAACUGCUGCAUAUCAAGAUGGUUAGGUAGUUGGAAUGUGCUUAACUUUAAGCUGUUGUUUGCUGCUAUAUUCCGACUCAUCUCUGUGGUAUUUCGGGUCAACUCGUGGUCUCACAUUGAUGAAAAUAGUGGCUGUCCUCUCAAAGUUUUAAUGCUAUCCUUGGUGCUACUUUUGACU